Helianthus annuus (common sunflower) is the source of this 1655-nucleotide RNA transcript. It is a transcript of the gene named probable sugar phosphate/phosphate translocator At1g06470, with no coding region annotated. The record is from RefSeq and is a predicted model, not a curated record. NCBI's taxonomy places the organism in Eukaryota, Viridiplantae, Streptophyta, Magnoliopsida, Asterales, Asteraceae. The transcript is spliced from 7 exons.
ACUCAUGGGCGGGAUUUCAAAUUUCCAAAGGCCCUAACAUUUUUAGAUCUGAACAAAACCAUCUCCUCUCCUCUACCCCUCGAUUUCAUGGUUUCCACCGUCUUCUUCCCUUUUCUUUCUGUAAUUAAAGAUUCAAAAUGCAUUGUUCCUCUCAUUAUCUUUCUGUAUCCCAAGCAAAAAAAUAAAAAAAAUUCAGACGUACUCUCUUUAAGCAUCUCAAGCAAAAGAAGAUAGAGAAGAAAUUGAGAGCCCUAAUCUCUGUGUCAGUUGAGUACAAAGGAGGGCAAGAUCCCAUGUCCAGGUACUGCAUGCAGUUGUUGCUGUUAAUUUUAUGGUAGGAUUUUGUUUUUGUGUAUAGAAGCCCUAAAUAUCCAUCACGUAGUUCUGUGUUUGAGACGAAGACGCAAGAUCGUUGUGGGUUCAGUUGAGGAUUGCUGUGUACAUGAUGCAAAGGAAGGUCAAUGAGCAACUUAAAUCGAUUUUAACUGGGUGUGAAUGAGCAAAUGGCGGCUAAAAGAUUGUGAAAGGGAGCUUAAUUAGAGCAUGUAAAGCUAAAGAUGAAAAUGAGAAACAGGAAGCUUGGCUGGGAGAAGUAAAGGGAUUUUGCCUUUCACAGUUGUACCCACGGCUUUUGCAAAAGCAUUGGAUAUCAACUUGAGCAAUGCAUCCCUUGUUUUUAUUUCAGUUGCAUUUGCCACCAUGUGCAAAUCUGCUUCUCCUAUAUUUCUCUUGAUAUUUGCUUUUGCAUUCAGACGGUUCACUCCGGGAUGCAGAAGCUACGUUGGAUCAGUUAAGUUUAUUUGGAAAGAGAAUCACUACUAAUUUGGUGAAUGAACUUGUGGGGAUUGUCAUCGAUGAGAAGUUAUUAGAACUUGUGGAGUUAGCAAUGUCAUCAAACACAUCAGAAACAGUGAAAAGGGCGAGAGAAUUAAUGGACUUGGGAGUUGACCCUAUGGUUUUGAUGUCUCAAAUGGCUACGCUUAUUAUGGAUAUCAUUGCUGGAACAUACCAAGUGGUUGAAGCCAGAUAUGGUGACUCGUUAUUUGGUGGUAGAAGUUAUAUUUUCAGGUUCAUCUGCAUCUGACUGGGUACAAGACAGAGAUUUACCCGAGUGGUUAGAUCAACAUAUCUCUGACACAGAAAACAGUCAGGUUAAAACAACAUAACUGGUUACAUGCUCACACCUGGAGGAUUUUCAUGCCUUUAUAUGGCUCAACCUUUAAAAAAAUUUCCCAUGAGGCGCCUUCUUUUCAUCCAUAAGUGGUUUGCCGGCCAGCUUCUUCCGUGCAACAACACAUGCUUGACAUAAUUUUUUGUUUCUGUUUUUCCCUUUUUUUCUUUUUUUUUGUUGGGCUUAAAUUCUAUUUGCUGUUUAUUAGCGAGGUUGCCUUUGUUUUGGUUUGUCGUAUUCAGAAAGAUUUAGGUUGCUCUACUUGGUGUUUGUUAGUGAGGUUGAAUAGCUUUGGUUUGUUGCAGCCCCGAGGGUCUGCCACUCACUUCACAAGACCCAUAAUUCUGUUUGGGGGGGCAUAUUUAGUUUUAUACAUUGUUUAUAUAUAAUUUAGAGAUGUUACUAAAUUGUAAUGGAUAUAGAAACAACGAUGAAUCUUGUUCAUAUUGGUUUGGGCAUGUGACUGACCUGAGUUUGAAUCUCA